GUGCACUUGAUAAUGAAUGACAGUUGAAUAUGUGGAGCCCUUUCUCCAACAAAAGUUUGUGGGGCUUGAUGCCGGUCAUUGAGGGGAGAGAAUGUAUGCACUUGAUGAGCAGGCUGAGCUAUACCAAUUUCUGCUUGAGAUAGUGACCAGUAAGAUCCCAUAGACUGUUAGAGGAAGCUUAUUUUGAAGGUAUAUUGCCACCACUAAGUCAAAAUGAUUGCAGUGGUGGUGAGGUCAAGAGUCAGCUAGAGUUGUAGUCAUGUGAUUGGCUAUUGGCAAUAAUUGCAAACUUGUUGGAGGCAUUCGUGACGUUCAUAAUCGAUGCGGACUGGUAGUGGUUUUUGCCAGGUCUCGUGGAAGGCAUAGGUUUCUUCCGAAUGGGGAGUAGGCG
Long non-coding RNA from Schistocerca cancellata (South American locust), 391 nucleotides. RefSeq lists it as uncharacterized. Lineage: Eukaryota; Metazoa; Arthropoda; Insecta; Orthoptera; Acrididae. The transcript has 4 exons. The record is from RefSeq and is a predicted model, not a curated record.